AUUCCAGGGGGGUUGAUACUCAUCAAUUGAGUUGCGAGCUGUGUUGAUAAAUAAGAAAUGCUUCAAAUUUGUGAUGUUUGAUAAAUGGAGCCAACGUCUUGGCGUGUAUAAAUUUAUGCCUGUCUUUUUCUUUCUGGGAGCAGCCAUUGAACUUUUCAUGAUCAAAGUGCGUGUAGGGAAUGAAACAUUUUGUAAGUCUAUUAUUAAAAAGACUCCCCGAGUCCGCUUGACGAGUAAAAUCAUCUGGCGUUAGACAGAGUACAGUAAUAAUGAAAGUAGAGCGCAUUUGGGUGCUUUCCAGCUUAAUGGUUAAAGUUUUUUUUAUGGAACCCUGAGCACCAGACUGUAAAGUUUGUCCCCACACUUUUGAGUGCUGUUUGGAGUUUCCAAUUUCCAUCUAGGAACUUAUGUGUCCCUACACAGAAAUCAAGCUUUAUAGUCUUGGCAUAGCC
This is a non-coding RNA of Paramuricea clavata, 452 nucleotides long. The record is from the annotation of a GenBank genome assembly. NCBI's taxonomy places the organism in Eukaryota, Metazoa, Cnidaria, Anthozoa, Malacalcyonacea, Plexauridae.